AUGCAAGUCGAGCGCGAAAGGAGCAAUCCGAGUAGAGCGGCGCACGGGUGCGUAACACGUGGGUAAUCUGCCUCAGGGUCAGGGAUAACCUUCCGAAAGGUUGGCUAAUACCUGGUAAGCUUACGGCGUCUUCGGGCGCUGUUGGAAAAGUAGGCCUCUGUUUACAAGCUUACGCCCAGAGAUGAGCCCGCGGCCCAUCAGCUAGUUGGCGGGGUAACGGCCCACCAAGGCAACGACGGGUAGCUGGUCUGAGAGGACGAUCAGCCACACUGGAACUGAGACACGGUCCAGACUCCUACGGGAGGCAGCAGUGGGGAAUUUUCCACAAUGGGCGAAAGCCUGAUGGAGCAACGCCGCGUGUGUGAUGAAGGUUUUCGGAUCGCAAAGCACUUUCGACCGGGACGAAAAACCUCUGGCUAACAUCCAGGGGCCUGACGGUACCGGGAGAAGAAGCACCGGCUAACCCUGUGCCAGCAGCCGCGGUAAUACAGAGGGUGCAAGCGUUGUUCGGAAUUAUUGGGCGUAAAGCGCGUGUAGGCGGCUUAGCAAGUCAGAUGUGAAAGCCCUCGGCUUAACCGAGGAAGUGCGUCUGAAACUGCUGAGCUUGAGUGUCGGAGAGGAUGGCGGAAUUCCGCAAGUAGAGGUGAAAUUCGUAGAUAUGCGGAGGAACACCGGUGGCGAAGGCGGCCAUCUGGACGACCACUGACGCUGAGACGCGAAAGCG
RNAcentral lists this ribosomal RNA (724 nucleotides) under uncultured delta proteobacterium. Its description in RNAcentral is "bacterial SSU rRNA". It matches the Rfam family "Bacterial small subunit ribosomal RNA", at positions 55 to 761 of the family's 1533-position model. The record is from RNAcentral. Lineage: Bacteria; Deltaproteobacteria.